This is a long non-coding RNA of Monodelphis domestica (gray short-tailed opossum), 1313 nucleotides long. RefSeq lists it as uncharacterized. The record is from RefSeq and is a predicted model, not a curated record. Lineage: Eukaryota; Metazoa; Chordata; Mammalia; Didelphimorphia; Didelphidae.
CUUAGCCCAAUUGUUACAGCCAAAUUGUCAACAGCACUGCAGGGAAACCCAGAUCUCCUCCUAGCUAUCUUCCAAACCCAAAUCCUCGCAAUUUCUUCAGGAAACUAGUGAGGUUCCAGGAGUUGAUGGAGCAGGUGUUGUGCCUUCCAGCUCAGGGAAAGGACAGUUUUGUAGUGACAGAUAACUCAGUUAACUCCCCAAAUCCUCCUCUCCAAUGUCUUCUCCUUCUAGAAUCUUUUCCCAGCUUUCAUGGUUAAAUUCUCCUCUCUCCCUUUUAGAGACAACUUUUGCAUUUUCUCUUAUCCCGUAUUGCUCUUUCCUUACAUGGUCUCAGAGAGAAUUAAUAUGAGAAAGAGGCUAUAAAUUGAAUCCUUAUGAGUCCUAGUCCAGUAAUAAUUGGUUGACCUUAAUCAGCUUGAAUUCCAGGGGAAAAGAAGUUUCAAUUGAGGCAUCAUUUUAAUUUUAAAUAGUUAAUGUUCAUAUAUCUACUGAUGAGCUCUCUCUCUCUCUCUCUCUCUCUCUCUCUCUCUCUCUCUCUCUCUCUCUCUCUCUGUCUCUCUCUCUCUCUCUCUCUCUCCCUGUCUCACUCUGUCUUCAAUUGUGUUGAUCUCUCACCAUUUUACAGAGAAUAAUGCAACGGUUCGUGAGAAUAAUGCAACGGAACGUGAGAAGAAUGUUAUAGAACGUGAGAAGAAUGUUGCAGAACGUGAGAAACUUUUAGAGAGUGAGAAUCUUAAGGCUGAGAACAAUUGAACUGAGAUGGCCUUGAAACCCAGAGCACAAGUAUGGAGUGAACAUGGAUGUCCUGACUUAUGUGCUGGUCAUGAAGAAAUUCAAUUCAGGAAAGUACUGCUGGGAGGUGAAUGUGGAAGGAAAGAUGGAGUGGGCCCUGGGGCUCUAUAAGGACUCAAUAUGCAAUGAGGAAGAAGCAGACUUCACACCAGAAACUGGAUUCUUGAGUAUUUGUCUUGUUAAUAGUGACACUUACCGGGCUCUCUGCAGACCCUGGAUCCAACUCCAGAUGGUAGUGGUCCCCAAGACUAUGGGGAUUUUCUUGGACUAUGAAACAGGCACAAUCUCCUUCUACAAUGCUACUGAAUCAACUCACAUUCAUACUUUUCAUGACACCUUCAAGGAAGAUGUGAGGCCUUAAAGCUACCCUGACUUGUUCUUUAGCGGGGAAAAUCAGAAUUCUGUGCUCCACAUAAAAAGGGUCUCUGAGAGAAAAUGUUAUAUUUAAAACUAAUAUACAUCUGCCAUUUAUUAUUUUUCAUAAAGUUUAUUAAUAAUCAUUUGAGAUAAUAAAGGUAUAU